Cucumis sativus (cucumber) is the source of this 1251-nucleotide long non-coding RNA. RefSeq lists it as uncharacterized. The record is from RefSeq and is a predicted model, not a curated record. Lineage: Eukaryota; Viridiplantae; Streptophyta; Magnoliopsida; Cucurbitales; Cucurbitaceae. The transcript is spliced from 4 exons.
CUAGCUGCCAAGUUAUUUUCUUUUUAAUUAUUUCAUAAUCUAAUAAUUUCUUGAAUACCUGGGAAAUCUAUUUUUAGGGGAUCUUAUCAAUGAAAACACACUGAUGAAAGUGAUUAGAGGGCUUAAUAAGAGUACUGGGGUUGUGCUAGAAUAUUUGCAAGAAGCAAAGGAGCAUGGACAUAGAAAAGGAAAAGACAUUUUAGCAUCUAUACCGGGUUAUUGGGAGGUAAUAUGUUCUAUAUUUGAAGGUGAAGAUGAACAUAUGUUUAUCAGCGCCCAAUUAUUACCUGCGAUUCGGUAUUUUAUUGUACAAAUAUAAAAUGCCUAAAUUCCAUUUCUAUAUUUACAAAUGAACGUCCUUUCAAUAAUUCACUCCUUUCUUUGCAAUUUUAGAAGAAUCAGAUAAGGAAGUUAAAUGAUUCAACAUCCAAGUAAAAGCAUAUGAAGAUAAUUCAAAUUUGAACAUGUCUGUACAACUUAUAUGCUCAAAGAAACGAGUAAUAAAUGUGGGAAAGUUCCAAUUCUUUCAGCAGAUCCAUUUCAUAGAACUCUUAGUUCAUUGUUUUUCCUUUUUUUUUUUUAAUCUUUACCUAUUAUUUUAUUUGGUUUAAUGUGGUUGAGUGAUACCACUUUUUAAUUGACAAAACAUUUUCAUUUCAUAUUUCUUUCAAGUGGGAAUCUCAACAUCAGAUUUCUUCUUUCUUCUUUGAAGUGGAAAUUUCUUUGGUAGAAAUUACUUUAGCCCAUUUCACAAUUUGAGUAUAUUCAUACUAAAAGAACAUCAUUCCAUGUGACUUUUACUCUUUUCAGUGUUUACUAGAUGGUUUGGUUCUCUUUUGAUUGUGGACUUUUCCUAUUUUAUGCAAUCCUUAUUGUUCCCGUGUUUCAGAUAGCAUGGACUUUCUUCUCUAUAUGAUACAUGUUUUAUAUACUUCAAAGAAUUUCAGGAACACUCCAAUAUUUUUGAAGUAUAAGUUCGUGUCCAAGGAACCCUUUUGUUUAGGGGCAUAUAUCUCACAAUGCACAAUUAUUUGGGAUUCUACCUUGGUUAAAAAGAAUCCAUUGGAGCAGUGAAGCCAACUUGGAGCAAUUUUGAUUGAUAUAAGACUUUUUGUAUGGUUGGUAGCAAAAUCUUGGUUCCAAUGUACUAAUUUUAGGCUUGUUGUUAGAUAAAGAUGUCAAUGUUUAUUCUUUUUACAUGUAAACUACAUUUUAACAAAAAAUGAUUAGUAAUCAAUGAGUGUACAAAUA